UUAAAUGCAAUCAAAGCUUCAUUUGAUACAUGUCCAGGAGUCAGGCCAUGUGAAUAAAAGCCUUUCAGUAUGUGUAGAGUACAUUGCCCUUGAGUAACCAGAGCCCACUCUUGCAAAUAGGUCUAUAGAGGUACUAGAUGACGCCCAACUCUUAUAUGUUCACUUGUGGCACACUGAUGGCCUGAAAAGGAGAAAAAGAACAAACCUUCUUCCAGUUUGCAGAGGCUUCCUGACUGAUCGCCUGGAGGCGAUCCUAACUCACCACAGGCAAACCAGAACAAAUUCAUCCACUGCCCAGCUUCGUAUGUUGGAAUCACACGAAGGACACUUAAAUAACACCACAGCAGCAAGCUGUGAUGCUCUCUCCUACCCUGCACAACCAAAGGCCACGUGGCCUGUCUGGUUCUGGGAGGCAGACUGGUCUUUUGGCUGAAUGGAAGCUCAAGCUGUAAAGACAAACUAUUCAGUCAUGUCUGUUUCCCAAGAACUCCGUGCGUGCAAAAGCAGCAGCAUUAUUUGCCUACAGUUUGUGCUUCAGGGAUGAAUUACAUUUAUUGCUGCUACGUUUAGGUGGUGAAUAGGUUGGACUAAUGAAAAUAGGUUGGACUAAUGAAAAUAGGUUGGACUAAUGAUCAAUUGAAAGACUCUUCUUUGCUAAUUGCAAUUUUUUUUGGUAUGAGUAUAUUCAAAUGCCACAGGUAGCUGGCACCUUCUAGAUAGGCAUUCCUUCUUGAUGGCACCAGAAGGAAUGCCUCCUAAUACAAUACCUGUUUUGCCGUGCACGUGAAAACCAUUAUAAAUCUGAAGAAAACGAUACAGUUCCUCCAAUAUUUUAUUCAUACGCUAGUACAUGGAGAUUUAACUGAUAGAUUAAAUGAUGACAUCUCAUGUCAUAGCCCUGUUAAAGAGAGAUUGCCUCUAAAAGUAAUCACAGGUAUUUCUGUCUGGCUUACUGCAAGGGGGAGAAUUUAAAGAUACCUUGAGGUUGAUGUGGAGAGGCUGAGAAACAAGUUUAGUCUUAGGCAGGGCUGUCAAACUUGAAGCUGCUGGGCUGAGCAUAAUAUUUUCUGACCACCAUGGCCAGCAGUGAGCAUAAUGAACUUCUUUUUUUUUUUAAGCUUGUCUGAGACUAACAAGACUGGGUUUAUCUGGUGCCUUGCUUACUGCAGCUCUUAGCUUGGAGAUGUCUUGAGGUCAUCAGGGCUGCCUUUGGGGUAUAGUAUGUAAUACCACAGUGAACUGGAGUAUAUAUAUGAUAUCACAGUGAAAAGCCAGGGUUGCGAGUCUGACACCCCCCUCCUCCAGAGAACACAGUGGAAAUGGUUGUUUUAGCAAGCACUUAAACCAAAUGGGCUGGUUCCAGUGUAAGGUAUUCGUAGAGCACAUCUUUCCCUAACUUCCCCUUCCCCAUGGAGCUUGCUGUUUUUUCUGAAACUGCUCUCUGAGAAUCGGGAAAGACUCAUAAGCAAAUCGUGCCACAGGUCAGGUUGCUGUAGCAGUGCUUAAGAAUCACACAGAAUUGCCUUUUUUCUCCCUCUUCUGCUUGCGACUUUCAUCAAUGGACGAAGGGGAGGCUGGCAAAUUUGCCCAGUUGUUCACCACCCCCAUCCCCAGCACUGCUGUGACCCAUCCCGGGAUGUGUUUUGCUUCCAAGGCUGUCACAGUUCUCAAAGAACAGUUUUGAGACAAACAGCAGGCUGCAUGAGGAAGAAGAAGAUGGGGGGGGGGAAUCACUCCACUACCUCUUUCCAUUAGUGCUUCCACUGGGCCCAACCCAUUAUGUCCGCAAAAAUGUCCACUACUUACUGUUGCCAUUUUGGUGGCAAGUGAUAUGAGAUGUGUGUAGGAGGAGCUGUCCAGCCCAGCAUUUAACUGACACAGUCCCUAUUUGCCUGGCGUUAGUCAUCACCCAAAUUGUUGCAUUCCAUUUGAAAUUGGAGGAGCUGAUCACACUGUGUUGUGAUUGGAAUCCCCCCCCCCAUGCUUGUUAACUUGUGUGAUAAAGUUUUAAUGCCAUCUUGAACACUGAAAUGUAUGUGAGUAAAAAUAAUAAAUGGAAGCUGAUUUAAGAAAAUGA
Long non-coding RNA from Eublepharis macularius, 2077 nucleotides. RefSeq lists it as uncharacterized. The record is from RefSeq and is a predicted model, not a curated record. The transcript has 2 exons. Lineage: Eukaryota; Metazoa; Chordata; Lepidosauria; Squamata; Eublepharidae.